Molecule: ribosomal RNA, 484 nt
Filed under: uncultured bacterium
Lineage: Bacteria
Description: partial 16S ribosomal RNA
Rfam family: Bacterial small subunit ribosomal RNA
Source: RNAcentral
AUUGAACGCUGGGGGCAGGCCUAACACAUGCAAGUCGAGCGGUUGAAGGGAGCUUGCUCCUGGAUUCAGCGGCGGACGGGUGAGUAAUGCCUAGGAAUCUGCCUGGUAGUGGGGGAUAACGUCCGGAAACGGGCGCUAAUACCGCAUACGUCCUGAGGGAGAAAGUGGGGGAUCUUCGGACCUCACGCUAUCAGAUGAGCCUAGGUCGGAUUAGCUAGUUGGUGGGGUAAAGGCCUACCAAGGCGACGAUCCGUAACUGGUCUGAGAGGAUGAUCAGUCACACUGGAACUGAGACACGGUCCAGACUCCUACGGGAGGCAGCAGUGGGGAAUAUUGGACAAUGGGCGAAAGCCUGAUCCAGCCAUGCCGCGUGUGUGAAGAAGGUCUUCGGAUUGUAAAGCACUUUAAGUUGGGAGGAAGGGCAGUAAGUUAAUACCUUGCUGUUUUGACGUUACCAACAGAAUAAGCACCGGCUAACUUCGUG